UAAUGCAGGUGUAGCAAAACCUUAGCGCUUCUCAGAAUAGUGAUCUGUUUGCCUGUGAGGUUUAUUCUUAGGUAUGCUUCAAAUGUUCUCCUAAAAUUCUUGAUAGUCUGGUAGGAGACCUGCCUAGAAAAGCUGAAAUACUUCCUCCUAGUGAAGAGCUGAAUAAGACUUCAUAUCAUCAUCAUUGGAACUCUCAAUUUGCAUCAGAAUUUGCUAUCUUGGAUUAGGACAUUAUGUGAGCAGUGUCCAUUGAAUAUUUGUCCAACUGUAUAUUCACAGUCUCUCAAUUUGCACUGCAGGCACAUUUUGUUAGGAGUACCAAAAUGUGAUAUUGUCUAAUCUUUCAAUCUAUAUUAUAUAUCUAUAUAAUAAUAAUAAAAAAUGAAUGAGUAACACACUGAUGCUUAAAAGCUAGUUGAGUCUAGAAAAAGAUUUUGUGUAAUUCUAGAAAAACUAUUAUUUCUUCAGUUUCUUUAGUCCUUUUGCUUUCGGAAAUCCAAUUUCUCCCAUAUGAUCAUUGGAAGCAUUGACUUUUCUUAAUUUCUUUGCAGUUACAAUGAGUGACUACUAGUCUGUCAAAAAUAAUUCUAGCAAGUGAUUCACGUAAGCAUGUGGAUAUCUGUGGCUGUUUAUCAAUUUAAUCCAAGGAAGUCUACUGCAGAUGCAUCUGGAAGACUGAAAGACGAUUGUUCAAGAGCACAAGCAGCCUUCAGUGGACAAUCAGAGUGUGCCUACAGCUGGAGAAGCUCACUGGCGUGACGCCUUUGUUGCUCAUAAAUCUGAUUUCACAGAACUUGAAAGGAAGUUGGAUGAUACCAAAAAGGAACUGGAGGAGGUGCAUGCUGAUCUUGUCAUGGUCAUGCAGGAACUUGAUUUGGCAAGAGCUGAGGUAUAACUAUGUGUUCGGACAUCAUCUGAAUGAAUGCUCCAGUACCAGUUUUGUUUUCUUUUGUGGUAGUGGUUAGUGAAUGAUUCUUGUAUAUGUAUAGAUAUAGAUAUUUAAUAAAGAAGGACAUUUUAUUCUGAAUUUUCA
RNAcentral lists this long non-coding RNA (1033 nucleotides) under Numida meleagris (helmeted guineafowl). Its description in RNAcentral is "lncRNA (ENSNMEG00000017509.1)". The record is from RNAcentral. Lineage: Eukaryota; Metazoa; Chordata; Aves; Galliformes; Numididae.